UGGGGAAUAUUGCACAAUGGGGGAAACCCUGAUGCAGCGACGCCGCGUGAGUGAAGAAGUAUUUCGGUAUGUAAAGCUCUAUCAGCAGGGAAGAAAGUGACAGUACCUGAGUAAGAAGCCCCGGCUAACUACGUGCC
Molecule: ribosomal RNA, 137 nt
Filed under: uncultured bacterium
Lineage: Bacteria
Description: partial 16S ribosomal RNA
Rfam family: Bacterial small subunit ribosomal RNA
Source: RNAcentral